GCUCAGGAUGAACGCUAGCUACAGGCUUAACACAUGCAAGUCGAGGGGUAGCAGGGUAGCAAUACCGCUGACGACCGGCGCACGGGUGAGUAACACGUAUCCAACCUUCCCAUAACUCAGGGAUAGCCUUUCGAAAGAAAGAUUAAUACCUGAUAGUACUUAAGAAAGGCAUCUUUUUUAAGUUAAAGAUUUAUUGGUUAUGGAUGGGGAUGCGUUCCAUUAGAUAGUUGGUGAGGUAAUGGCUCACCAAGUCUUCGAUGGAUAGGGGUUCUGAGAGGAAGGUCCCCCACAUUGGUACUGAGACACGGACCAAACUCCUACGGGAGGCAGCAGUGAGGAAUAUUGGUCAAUGGGCGAGAGCCUGAACC
Molecule: ribosomal RNA, 368 nt
Filed under: uncultured Bacteroidales bacterium
Lineage: Bacteria; Pseudomonadati; Bacteroidota; Bacteroidia; Bacteroidales
Description: bacterial SSU rRNA
Rfam family: Bacterial small subunit ribosomal RNA
Source: RNAcentral